UUCGCAAUGCCCGAAAGGGUCUGACCUAUCCCUGGAGGAAGCACGGGCUAAGUUCGUGCCAGCAGCCGCGGUAAGACGAACCGUGCGAACGUUGUUCGGAAUCACUGGGCUUAAAGGGCGCGUAGGCGGGCCGCAAAGUCAGGGGUGAAAUCCUCCAGCUCAACUGGAGAACUGCCUUUGAUACUGGCGGCCUGGAGUAAGGUAGGGGCAUGCGGAACUGAUGGUGGAGCGGUGAAAUGUGUUGAUAUCAUCAGGAACUCCGGUGGCGAAAGCGGCGUGCUGGACCUUUACUGACGCUGAGGCGCGAAAGCCAGGGGAGCAAACGGGAUUAGAUACCCCGGUAGUCCUGGCCCUAAACGUUGGGCACUAAGUAGAGGGGUUUUAAUC
This 387-nucleotide ribosomal RNA is filed under the name uncultured Planctomycetota bacterium. Its description in RNAcentral is "bacterial SSU rRNA". It matches the Rfam family "Bacterial small subunit ribosomal RNA", at positions 444 to 836 of the family's 1533-position model. Lineage: Bacteria; Pseudomonadati; Planctomycetota. The record is from RNAcentral.